CAUACGGGAGGCAGCAGUGGGGAAUAUUGGACAAUGGGCGAAAGCCUGAUCCAGCCAUGCCGCGUGUGUGAAGAAGGCCUUCGGGUUGUAAAGCACUUUCAGUGGGGAAGAAAGCCUUGGGGCUAAUACCCUCGAGGAAGGACAUCACCCACAGAAGAAGCACCGGCUAACUCCGUGCCAGCAGCCGCGGUAAUACGGAGGGUGCGAGCGUUAAUCGGAAUUACUGGGCGUAAAGCGCGCGUAGGCGGUCUGAUAAGCCGGUUGUGAAAGCCCCGGGCUCAACCUGGGAACGGCAUCCGGAACUGUCAGGCUAGAGUGCAGGAGAGGAAGGUAGAAUUCCCGGUGUAGCGGUGAAAUGCGUAGAGAUCGGGAGGAACACCAGUGGCGAAGGCGGCCUUCUGGACUGACACUGACGCUGAGGUGCGAAAGCGUGGGUAGCAAACAGGAUUAGAUACCCCGGUAGUC
RNAcentral lists this ribosomal RNA (465 nucleotides) under Vreelandella stevensii. RNAcentral's name for it is "partial 16S ribosomal RNA". It matches the Rfam family "Bacterial small subunit ribosomal RNA", at positions 338 to 795 of the family's 1533-position model. Lineage: Bacteria; Pseudomonadati; Pseudomonadota; Gammaproteobacteria; Oceanospirillales; Halomonadaceae. The record is from RNAcentral.